Perognathus longimembris pacificus (Pacific pocket mouse) is the source of this 796-nucleotide long non-coding RNA. RefSeq lists it as uncharacterized. The record is from RefSeq and is a predicted model, not a curated record. Lineage: Eukaryota; Metazoa; Chordata; Mammalia; Rodentia; Heteromyidae. The transcript has 3 exons.
AGGUAUAAUUAAGUGUGGCCAAUUUGGGACUCAAGAUAGCCUUCAGUUGUAAGUUUUGGGGGGUGUGUGUGUGCUUAGCUCUGCUAAGUUUCCUUGAAAUCUGGCAUGCCACAGAGUUCACUUUUGAACGUACCCCUUAUUUCACCUUCUCCGAGAAGGGUGAAUUUCCAAAGGCUUCAAGUUGGUGUAUCGAAGAAGUCUAUCAAAGCCCAUUCUCCCAACAUAGCCUCAAGUUUACUAAUAAUUUGAACUAGAUAUUUCUUCCUCACUUAAUAAAUCAUAAACAUUUUCAUAACACAAUAAUUCAGAAGCAUGGCAUUACAAUAGCUUACAAAGUGAUAAAUUAUAAAGCCCCUGUGGGAACACAACAGAAUUCAUUUUCAAUAAUGUUUUGCCUUCUCUCUGGUGAACUGGAAGGCACAAUAUUAAAUGUUUAAAUUAAAGAAACACAUUAAUGAAGAAUGUUUCUAGUAAGUUCCAACAGAUGGCUUCCAAAUGCAUCCCAUAGAGUGAAAUGCGUAAUUCUACCCUAUAAAUAUGCCAGACAACAUUACAAAUAAACCACAGCAAAUACACCUUAUGAGACAACUGAAAUAAUGUUAUUUUGGAGUAGAUAAACUCAUAGGAGAUGAAGAUCGUUACAAUGAGAGGUCUCCUAGAAUGAUCGAAUAAAUGUGAUAGAUUUAGAAAUAACUUAGGACAAUUUACACACACACACACACACAUGCAUAUACACACACAUAAUACGUGGAUGUUUGUGUGCAAGUACUAGGGUUUGAACUCAGGGCCUAUGCCU